UUUUAACUGAAAAACUGGGAGCACUAGCAGUUCUUCACAAGGAAAGUGGAUUGGACAAUGCCGCUAGCUCGGAUGGUGCCCCAUAUGGAUGUCGAUCAUGGGCGACGUGAAGAGGGACAAGGUAGAGAAAGGGGUCUGGUUGGCGCCGCAUUAGAGGUGAGAGAGGGGGCCGGGGUUGCGUCGCCGCCGAGAUGCGCGAGGGGAUCGGAGCUGUGCCAAGCGGAUUCAUCAGAGCACUUCGCUCCUGCUGCCUUUGGCUUGAUGCUUAGAUGGAUUGAUGCGGAUCCUUCAGUUUUGUUGGAUCAGAAGUAAGAGCACCGGGACUUCAAGGACGAUGUAGAUUGUCGAAGGCUAAGUUACAGAGUGCGUGGGCAGCAGUACCAGAGCAAGAACCUCGCGCGUGACGGAGUUGCUGUGGUAAAGAAGCAAAACUCAAUGACUAACUCU
Long non-coding RNA from Triticum dicoccoides, 447 nucleotides. RefSeq lists it as uncharacterized. Lineage: Eukaryota; Viridiplantae; Streptophyta; Magnoliopsida; Poales; Poaceae. The record is from RefSeq and is a predicted model, not a curated record. The transcript is spliced from 3 exons.